GGCCUGCUGGCGAAAUGGCAUCGCGUCAGAUUUCGGCUUACUAGUCAUCCUCUGAAGAUUCUAGGUUCGAUCCCUAGGUAGGUCG
Molecule: transfer RNA, 85 nt
Filed under: Colletotrichum graminicola M1.001
Lineage: Eukaryota; Fungi; Ascomycota; Sordariomycetes; Glomerellales; Glomerellaceae
Description: tRNA-Arg for anticodon UCG
Rfam family: tRNA
About the family: Transfer RNA (tRNA) molecules are approximately 80 nucleotides in length. Their secondary structure includes four short double-helical elements and three loops (D, anti-codon, and T loops).
Source: Rfam by way of RNAcentral